GGAAUUGACGGGACCGCACAAGCAGCGGAGCGUGUGGUUAAUUCGUUGCUACACGAAGAACCUUACCUGGGUUUGACAUAUAGGUUGUAGGGAACUGAAAAGGACCGACCUUCGGGAGCCUAUACAGGUGUUGCAUGGCUGUCGUCAGCUCGUGUCGUGAGAUGUUCGGUUAAGUCCGCUAACGAGCGCAACCCUCGUCGUAUGUUAUAUGUGUCAUACGAGACUGCCGGUAAAAAGCCGGAGGAAGGUGAGGAUGAUGUCAAGUCAGCAUGACCUUUAUAUCCAGGGCUACACACACGCUACAAUGGUCUGUACAAUGGGUAGCCAAGCCGCGAGGCGGAGCCAAUCCUGAAAGCAGGCCUCAGUUCAGAUUGCAGUCUGCAACUCGACUUCGUGAAGGCUGGAUUCGCUAGUAAUCGCGCAUCAGCCAUGGCGCGGUCGAAUACGUUCCGGGCCUU
RNAcentral lists this ribosomal RNA (458 nucleotides) under uncultured Anaerolineaceae bacterium. RNAcentral describes it as "bacterial SSU rRNA". It matches the Rfam family "Bacterial small subunit ribosomal RNA", at positions 906 to 1382 of the family's 1533-position model. Lineage: Bacteria; Bacillati; Chloroflexota; Anaerolineae; Anaerolineales; Anaerolineaceae. The record is from RNAcentral.